Molecule: non-coding RNA, 93 nt
Organism: Arachnomyces sp. PD_36
Lineage: Eukaryota; Fungi; Ascomycota; Eurotiomycetes; Onygenales; Arachnomycetaceae
Source: the annotation of a GenBank genome assembly
GGUUUCAUGGUCUAGUGGUUAGGACUUUCGGUUUUGAUUAAUUCUAAUAAUUGAAACUUCCGAACAGCCUGGGUUCGAACCCCAGUGAGACCU